UGAGCAAUCUGCCCUUCUCAUCGGAAUAAGCGUUGGAAACGACGUCUAAUGCCGAAUACGACCUCCUUUCNCAUGAUCGGAGGUGGAAAGCUCCGGCGGAGAAGGAUGAGCUCGCGGCCUAUCAGCUAGUUGGUGUGGGUAACGGCCCACCAAGGCGACGACGGGUAGCCGGCCUGAGAGGGCGACCGGCCACACUGGGACUGAGACACGGCCCAGACUCCUACGGGAGGNAGCG
Molecule: ribosomal RNA, 235 nt
Filed under: uncultured bacterium
Lineage: Bacteria
Description: partial 16S ribosomal RNA
Rfam family: Bacterial small subunit ribosomal RNA
Source: RNAcentral